ACGCUCGACACCUACGGGUGGCAGCAGUAGGGAAUCUUCCACAAUGGGCGCAAGCCUGAUGGAGCAACACCGCGUGAGUGAAGAAGGGUUUCGGCUCGUAAAGCUCUGUUGUUGGAGAAGAACGUGCGUGAGAGUAACUGUUCACGCAGUGACGGUAUCCAACCAGAAAGUCACGGCUAACUACGUGCAGCAGCCGCGGUAAUCUGAGCGGGCUGGCAAGGC
Molecule: ribosomal RNA, 222 nt
Filed under: uncultured bacterium
Lineage: Bacteria
Description: partial 16S ribosomal RNA
Rfam family: Bacterial small subunit ribosomal RNA
Source: RNAcentral